Chlorocebus sabaeus (green monkey) is the source of this 83-nucleotide microRNA precursor. NCBI's taxonomy places the organism in Eukaryota, Metazoa, Chordata, Mammalia, Primates, Cercopithecidae. The record is from Ensembl.
UCCCCUGUGUGUGUUCUCUGAUGGACAGUGAGGGCUGAUCUGUGGCAGAAGGAUUUCCCACACGCAUUACAUUCAUAGGGUUU